RNAcentral lists this ribosomal RNA (274 nucleotides) under uncultured bacterium. RNAcentral's name for it is "partial 16S ribosomal RNA". It matches the Rfam family "Bacterial small subunit ribosomal RNA", at positions 523 to 796 of the family's 1533-position model. The record is from RNAcentral.
AUACGGAGGGUGCGAGCGUUACUCGGAAUCACUGGGCGUAAAGCGCGCGCAGGCGGUCUUUUAAGUUGGAUGUGAAAGCCUACGGCUCAACCGUAGAACUGCAUCCAAAACUAUUAGACUAGAGUGUGGGUGAGGAAGAUGGAAUUAGUUGUGUAGGGGUAAAAUCCGUAGAGAUAACUAGGAAUACCAAAAGCGAAGGCAAUCUUCUGGAACACUACUGACGCUGAGGCGCGAAAGCGUGGGGAGCAAACAGGAUUAGAUACCCUAGUAGUCC